UUUCAGGGUUCAAGAAGUAUGGCAGCAGAAACAGCAGCAACAACACCAAUAACACAAGGCACUCAGGAUUCAACAAAUAGGGCAACAGAAACAGUAGCAUCACCACCAACAGCACAAGGCACUCAGGGUUCAACUUUAAUAUUUAUGGAACCAGCAAGAGCAACAUAAGGCAUUUAGACUCCAUGUUGCACCACUCUACCUCCUACAACAGGAAUUAUGACAUAGUCUAUGGUAAACAUGACUUUUUACACAGUGCUAACAUAAUUUUUUGCACAGGCUAAAUUUCACACACAACACAGUUUUUUAGGUUAUGCAAGUAGAUAUGGGGGAUACUUUUGGGUUAUGCAAGUAAUGAUAUGUAAUGGGGAAUACCUUUUUGGUUAUUUUGAAAGUUUUGUAAUGAAUUUGAAGAGAUAUUUAAACUUAGCUAUGUGGCUGUUGGUAAUGGAUUUGAAGGGAUGUAUUUUUUGGCUUUUAAAGUUUGUGAUAUUUGAUGGAUUAUAUUUU
Molecule: long non-coding RNA, 507 nt
Organism: Cornus florida
Lineage: Eukaryota; Viridiplantae; Streptophyta; Magnoliopsida; Cornales; Cornaceae
Exons: 3
Source: RefSeq, a predicted model, not a curated record